UGGCUCAGUGGUUAAGAGCACUGACUGCUCUUCCAGAAGUCCUGGGUUCAAUUCCCAG
RNAcentral lists this transfer RNA (58 nucleotides) under Mesocricetus auratus (golden hamster). Lineage: Eukaryota; Metazoa; Chordata; Mammalia; Rodentia; Cricetidae. The record is from Rfam by way of RNAcentral. RNAcentral also lists the same sequence under 2 other names.